Molecule: long non-coding RNA, 1264 nt
Organism: Vicia villosa (hairy vetch)
Lineage: Eukaryota; Viridiplantae; Streptophyta; Magnoliopsida; Fabales; Fabaceae
Exons: 2
Source: RefSeq, a predicted model, not a curated record
CUAUGUUUGGAUAUCAUAAAAUCAACGGAGCGGAAUGGAGCGGAGCGGAGUGGGAUGGAGCGGAGUGGAACGGAGCGGAACGAAGAUACCAUUCCAUUGUUUGGAAAUUUUAGGACGGAACAAGAUAAGUUGUUCAUUCCGCCCAAAUCGGAGGGUAAGAAAAAUGGUGGUAAGUGAUGGAAUGGAAUGGAAUCCAUACCACUCUAUUCCGCUCCGUUCCAUCCGUUUUUAAAUUAUCCAAACAAUGGAAUAUCAUUUUAUUCCAUCCCAUUCCGCUCCGCUCCAUCCGGUUCCAUCAAUCCAAACAAAACCUAAAUAAAAAAGCCAGCAAAUGAAAUGAUGGCUAUGCGUUCUCUCAAACCGUCGUCGAUGACGAAAGUCGUAAUUCCGGGAAGUUACGGCAGUGAUGAUGAGAGUGAAAGCAAAAGAUGAAUAUGAUUCACCCGAACAGUGUUACGUGUACACCAGAAUAUGCUUCAACAGAACAGAUGAAAACCACUUUCGACUGAUUUACAUCUAUUAUAGAUGAAUACCACUUUACUACAAUUUACUUUGGUUGUGAUUAUUAUAGAUGGAAAACCCUUUUAGUGUAAUUGUUGCAGAAAAUAGUUACAGAGAAACAGAAGAAAUUAAAGGAAAGAUGGAAGUGUUGAGGGGUGAUUGCAUAUUUUGUUUCCAAUUAUUGAUGAAUCAUUUGGAUCUGUAACCCUUUUCUUCUAUUGAAUCAUGUGUGUUUUUGUUGUUAUGCAAUGUUAGGCUUAUUGUUGUUGUUACUGGAAUUGUAAUCUAACUGUUUGUUUUUAUGUUGCAGUGAGUGAUGGGUGAUAAGGAAAUUUAUGUUUUGGAUAGAAUUGGGUAUGGAAAGAUUGAUAAUACUGAUGGUGAUGGUAUGUAUCCAAUGUAUUUUGGUGUUUCUUCUGCAUUUUUUGCACUUCAAGUCCUUAGAAAACCAAGUUUUGAAGUUGAAAAGAAUUUGUCUGAAACUGUUGAAACUAUGCUUCAAGGAAGUGCACAGCUUUUGGGGUUGAUUGUGUGGAAAGUUAAGAAGGAAGUGUCGAAUGAGGUCAACCAAAAGCUGAAAAGUGCUGAAUUGGAUCAGGAGUUGAAGGAAUAAUAUUUUAGAGAAAUAGCUUUGUAUGUAUUUUUUUUAGUGGCAAUAUUGCUUGUAAAAGUUAGGCCAAUGGUUGUAAAAGGAAUCUUGAGUUUCCUGAUGCAUUGUAUAAGUUUCAAUUUCAAGAAAUAAAACUGUUUUGAUCUCAAACUA